This 469-nucleotide ribosomal RNA is filed under the name uncultured bacterium. RNAcentral describes it as "bacterial SSU rRNA". It matches the Rfam family "Bacterial small subunit ribosomal RNA", at positions 340 to 793 of the family's 1533-position model. The record is from RNAcentral.
UACGGGAGGCAGCAUGGGGGAAUAUUGCACAAUGGGCCGCAAGCCUGAUGGCAGCCAUGCCGGCGUCGUGGUGAAGAAGGCCUUCGGGUUGUAAAGCACUUUCAGUCGUGAGGAAGGUAGUGUAGUUAAUAGCUGCAUUACUUUGACGUUAGCGACAGAAGAAGCACGGCUAACUCCGUGCCAGCAGCCGCGGUAAUACGGAGGGUGCGAGCGUUAAUCGGAAUUACUGGGCGUAAAAGCGCAUGCAGGUGGUUUGUUAAGUCAGAUGUCGAAAAGCCCGGGGCUCAACCUCGGAAUUGCAUUUGAAACUGGCAGACUAGAGUACUGUAGAGGGGGUAGAAUUUCAGGUGUAGCGGUGAAAAUGCGUAGAGAUCUGAAGGAAUACCGGUGGCGAAGGCGGCCCCCUGGACAGAUACUGACACUCAGAUGCGAAAGCGUGGGGAGCAAACAGGAUUAGAUACCCUGGUAG